CAACCUACCUAUCAGAGGGGAAUAACCCGGCGAAAGUCGGACUAAUACCGCAUAAAACAGGGGCACCGCAUGGUGAUAUUUGUUAAAGAAAUUCGCUGAUAGAUGGGCAUGCGUUCCAUUAGGUAGUUGGUGAGGUAACGGCUCACCAAGCCGACGAUGGAUAGGGGAACUGAGAGGUUGGUCCCCCACACUGGUACUGAGACACGGACCAGACUCCUACGGGAGGCAGCAGUGAGGAAUAUUGGUCAAUGGGCGGGAGCCUGAACCAGCCAAGUCGCGUGAAGGAAGAGGGAUCUAUGGUUCGUAAACUUCUUUUGCAGGGGAAUAAAGUGCAGGACGUGUCCUGUUUUGUAUGUACCCUGAGAAUAAGGAUCGGCUAACUCCGUGCCAGCAGCCGCGGUAAUACGGAGGAUCCGAGCGUUAUCCGGAUUUAUUGGGUUUAAAGGGUGCGUAGGUGGUUUGAUAAGUCAGCGGUGAAAGUUUGCAGCUUAACUGUAUAAAUGCCGUUGAAACUGUCGGACUUGAGUGUAAAUGAGGUAGGCGGAAUGCGUGGUGUAGCGGUGAAAUGCAUAGAUAUCACGAAGAACUCCGAUUG
RNAcentral lists this ribosomal RNA (595 nucleotides) under uncultured Bacteroidota bacterium. Its description in RNAcentral is "bacterial SSU rRNA". It matches the Rfam family "Bacterial small subunit ribosomal RNA", at positions 122 to 715 of the family's 1533-position model. The record is from RNAcentral. Lineage: Bacteria; Pseudomonadati; Bacteroidota.